GACGAACCGUCCAAACGUUAUUCGGAAUUACUGGGCUUAAAGGGUGCGUAGGCGGUGCUACAAGUCGGGUGUGAAAUCCCUCAGCUUAACUGAGGAACUGCGCCCGAAACUGUAGUGCUGGAGUAAGGCAGGGGUGAGCGGAACUGAUGGUGGAGCGGUGAAAUGUGUUGAUAUCAUCAGGAACACCGGUGGCGAAGGCGGCUCACUGGGCCUUUACUGACGCUGAGGCACGAAAGCUAGGGGAGCAAACGGG
Molecule: ribosomal RNA, 253 nt
Filed under: uncultured bacterium
Lineage: Bacteria
Description: partial 16S ribosomal RNA
Rfam family: Bacterial small subunit ribosomal RNA
Source: RNAcentral